UACGUAGGGUGCAAGCGUUGUCCGGAAUUAUUGGGCGUAAAGAGCUCGUAGGCGGUUCGUCGCGUCGGCUGUGAAAUCCCGAGGCUCAACCUCGGGUCUGCAGUCGAUACGGGCGGGCUGGAGUUCGGCAGGGGAGACUGGAAUUCCUGGUGUAGCGGUGAAAUGCGCAGAUAUCAGGAGGAACACCGGUGGCGAAGGCGGGUCUCUGGGCCGAUACUGACGCUGAGGAGCGAAAGCGUGGGGAGCAAACAGG
RNAcentral lists this ribosomal RNA (253 nucleotides) under uncultured bacterium. RNAcentral's name for it is "partial 16S ribosomal RNA". It matches the Rfam family "Bacterial small subunit ribosomal RNA", at positions 524 to 776 of the family's 1533-position model. The record is from RNAcentral.